Molecule: ribosomal RNA, 400 nt
Filed under: uncultured bacterium OSs78
Lineage: Bacteria
Description: bacterial SSU rRNA
Rfam family: Bacterial small subunit ribosomal RNA
Source: RNAcentral
UGGAGAGUUUGAUCCUGGCUCAGAUUGAACGCUGGCGGCAUGCCUUACACAUGCAAGUCGAACGGCAGCAUGAUCUAGCUUGCUAGAUUGAUGGCGAGUGGCGAACGGGUGAGUAAUACAUCGGAACGUGCCCUGUAGUGGGGGAUAACUAGUCGAAAGAUUAGCUAAUACCGCAUACGACCUGAGGGUGAAAGUGGGGGACCGCAAGGCCUCAUGCUAUAGGAGCGGCCGAUGUCUGAUUAGCUAGUUGGUGGGGUAAAGGCCCACCAAGGCGACGAUCAGUAGCUGGUCUGAGAGGACGAUCAGCCACACUGGGACUGAGACACGGCCCAGACUCCUACGGGAGGCAGCAGUGGGGAAUUUUGGACAAUGGGCGAAAGCCUGAUCCAGCAAUGCCGCG